GACGAACGCUGGCGGCGUGCUUAACACAUGCAAGUCGAACGAAGAGCGAUGGAAGCUUGCUUCUAUCAAUCUUAGUGGCGAACGGGUGAGUAACGCGUAAUCAACCUGCCCUUCAGAGGGGGACAACAGUUGGAAACGACUGCUAAUACCGCAUACGGUCUAACCUCGGCAUCGAGGAUGGAUGAAAGGUGGCCUCUAUUUAUAAGCUAUCACUGAAGGAGGGGAUUGCGUCUGAUUAGCUAGUUGGAGGGGUAACGGCCCACCAAGGCGAUGAUCAGUAGCCGGUCUGAGAGGAUGAACGGCCACAUUGGGACUGAGACACGGCCCAGACUCCUACGGGAGGCAGCAGUGGGGAAUCUUCCGCAAUGGACGAAAGUCUGACGGAGCAACGCCGCGUGAGUGAUGACGGCCUUCGGGUUGUAAAGCUCUGUUAAUCGGGACGAAAGGCCUUCUUGCGAAUAGUUAGAAGGAUUGACGGUACCGGAAUAGAAAGCCACGGCUAACUACGUG
Molecule: ribosomal RNA, 510 nt
Filed under: uncultured bacterium
Lineage: Bacteria
Description: partial 16S ribosomal RNA
Rfam family: Bacterial small subunit ribosomal RNA
Source: RNAcentral